RNAcentral lists this long non-coding RNA (494 nucleotides) under Junco hyemalis (dark-eyed junco). Its description in RNAcentral is "lncRNA (ENSJHYG00000002773.1)". The record is from RNAcentral. Lineage: Eukaryota; Metazoa; Chordata; Aves; Passeriformes; Passerellidae.
GUUUCUUUCAAGCGGCUUUCUCCGGUCACGAGGGAGAGAAACUUUUUUUUUUUUUAAUUUAAGAAGGAAAAAUAGUUCUUAAACUGAUAAAUAAUCACCAGGUUCCAGGAGCAGGGGAUUUUGAGCAGGCACUGCAUGAAGCCAUGGCUGAAAGAUGCAGUUACAGCUCUGUACCUGGAACAAUCAAACAUCAUCUCAGCUGCUUUGGGAAAAGGUGUGCAAAAGGUCUGCUCCAUGCUCUGGGUGUCUGAGAAAUCAACACAGGAUACAUCUCAGACUCUGCAUGGCAUCUUCACUCCUCUAUGUGAACAAGAGCAGAACUGACAAAAUUCUUCAGCUGAAACAUCUGAGGAACGACAUCUCAUCAAAGAUGGACGUUUCCAUGGAAAUAUGUUUCGGAUGAAAUUUUUUUGAGUCUUUCACAGAUAAAAUAUAAAUAACUGGUUGGACAAGUUUUCAAUAAAUCAAAAUAGAAACUUUUUGCUGGAGAAACU